Molecule: long non-coding RNA, 5442 nt
Organism: Patella vulgata (common limpet)
Lineage: Eukaryota; Metazoa; Mollusca; Gastropoda; Patellidae
Exons: 2
Source: RefSeq, a predicted model, not a curated record
UUGUGAAAUGUAGGUUUUUCCUCAUGUAGGUUUGUCCUGAUGAAUACAGGUACAUACCAUACAAUGUUCUAUGAGGGAAAUUUUGCCCCAGCAGCGGCACUAUGGCCUACUAAUAUCGAAUCCAACUGCCAAGGGAUCUUUUCGUGCAAGACAAUGUAUACAUGGUACCUCGGUUUUUUGUCCCAUCUGAGUGACUAGACUACUGUCCUUGUUCCUGCACCUCUGACAAGGGGAAACCAUGUCGGAAAAUCCUGAUGAACUUUCUCCACCAAUGCAGGCAUCGAACACGUGCCCUCCGGAUUACCGAGCCAGCAUCUUACGCACUUAGCCACCGUGGCUUUAUCAAAAUUAGUAAUGAAGAUGUGCUAUGACAGAAAUUUUGCCUGGACAGCAGCAUUACCGCGCUUACUAAUGACGAUGUGCUAGGAAAGACAUUUUGCCUGGAGAGCAGCAUUUCCGCAUAUAGUCAUUACCAAUAGUUCUAAGUGCACGCCAACCUGUAAAACAGGUCUUUACACACUUUUCCAUCAUUACCAAUUACUAGUCUGUGGGUUCACUAGUCCGUGGGUGCACUAAUCCGUGCAUUCACUAGUCCACUAGUCUGACUCUAUAAAAUACUAUAAAUAUGAGUAUUAAAGAAACCCAGUAGAUAUGGUGACUGAUAUCACCCUUCGUAAACCGAUAACCCAACAUCACGGCAUUUUAACCCGAAAUCACAACAUUUUAACCAUUAUAGCAUAUGCCCUUCUUCAUUAGCCCACUUGGAACAAAAUAGUAGGAUUUUCAAACCCCAUUUAAAAUUCAUUUUCAUACUUUUCUGCACCAAUCGGACUAUUGAAGAUAGUCAUACGCAAUGCAGAGUGCUAUGACGAAAAUUUUCUAUGGACUGUGGCAGGGCGGAGGAUCUGGCAAGGGAUAAGGUAUAGAUGUUUGGGUCAUACAAAAAAUCAAGUCCUCAUGUACAUAUUGGCAUGCACGUAAAAGACACUCCGACAGUUGUAAUUCAAUAUCAGAGUAGGCCAUAGUGCCGCUAUCCGUGCAAAGUUUCCGUCAUAGUACACUGUAUAUAGUGUAUGCCUGUCUUCAUUAGCUCACUCAGAGCAAAACAGUAGGGUGUUUAAUCUCAUUUAAUUUUAUUUAAUUUUCCUACUUUUCUGCACCAAUGGGACUAUAAAAGAUAGGCUGGCAAGCGGACGACCAUAUAUUUAUCGUCUCUCGAUAAAAGACCUAUCUCUGAAAAUUAAAAUUCCCCGAUUUGAUUAUUCUUUUAAUAUGACGUAAUUAUGUAACCUCAUAUAAAAUAUAGUAGAGCGUAUACAAACAAAUUAUAUGAAUAGAUUCAUUAUCAGAAAUAUUACAGGCCUUUCAAACGAACAGUCGCCAUUUUUAGAGAUAGAUGUACAAAUAUAUUUUUAUCGUCUCGGGCAAGGUCAAGGUCACGAUCUGUUCACGGUUGAUGAUUGUGUUUAAAUCGGUUUAUAUCAUAUUAUUUCUAUUCACAUUACAAUAUUUUUUUAUAGGUUACGGUUAUUGUUGUUAUUUAUCUAAAUUGCUUUUAUUAUUUAUUAAAUAUUUUUUGUUUGUUCGUUUGACCGGAACGUACGGAAUUCUGGGAUUUAAAAUGGCGGCAUAGGUUAAAAUUUUUCCCAAAGAAGAAAUGAUGCCGUGAUUUAAAGUUAAAUAAAGCUAUUCCACACAUACACAGACGAUUUUGGAUUCAGCAAAGUAAAGUUGAAGAUCCUACAUGUAUAUUUGAGCACCCUUGGUGGCAGUAAUGACAAAGAAGUUCUAAAAAGAUUUAUAUGGGCUUUAUAAUGAAAGUUAGACAACACUACUACUUGCCAAACACUACUACUUGUCACAUAAUGUAAUGAUAUAAAUAUAUAUGUAUCUAUGGUAGCACAAAUAUCAUCAGAAUGUAGGCCAAAGCUUUACAAACAUUGUAGGCCUAAAAUACUUUCUGUCUGAACUUUUGACAGUCAAUUCUUUGAUGACUAGUUAGUUUAGAGCAGAUAUCCUGUCACAGUAUUAUAUAACAGCUCUUUGGCUUAAAGUCUAAACUGAGUUGUAUCAGUGAGUUGAAAAUCAUCUGUGUUCCUGUUAUUGCUCCCUGCUGCAGCCAGUAAACAAUAAACUUUUGCGUUCCUUACAAAUCUUCCAAUUUUUAUUGAUAGAUCAACCAUAGCAAAGAUCUCUAUUAAGAUUAUAUUUGUAAUGUGUGUAACAAAUUCUAUGACAUAGGUAUAAUAUUGGUGUAGUUAAGUAUAUACCAUAUUUAUGCACACAUUUCAAUGUUGGCAUAUUAUUAGUCUCUAUCAUCUAGAAAAAAAUAUUCUAUAUUCUACGAAUAUUAGUGUGGUUGCGUUGUCAACAUUUGAGAAUAUUCGGUCAUAGGCUAGAUUAUCCGGUCUUUUACAUUAUCAUAAACAAAGUCUAAGGGAGGUAACUAGUCCUAAAACAAGAUGUUGACGCCCAUGAAAUUUAUAUAAGAAUGCCAUUUCCGAAAAUCCAUUUGAUUGCAUUGUCAGUUCAAUAUCCAACACUCUUAAUUUUUUUUAUCGUAAAAUUUCUCUCUUCAUGGGCCAUAUCUAUGUUGUUUUUUUUAUUGAAUCCUAAUUCGUCAUCACGAUUCAUGUUUGUUUAUAAAUGCAAGUGUUAUUGACAACUGUCCCAGACCCUCAUUAUUUAUAUGGCCCAACUUUUCUUCGGCGUACACCGGCACGGUAUUAGACUAGGAUAACAGUCCCGAAACUCAUGGAGUUGAAAAACAUUAGUCUUAUAUACCGCCUCUACUUAAUUAUGGAAGUAGGUUGGAAAAAUGUAAAAUUUGGCAAUUUGACUUAUACUCAACAUCGACUUAUACCCUGUAUGGUAAUGUGAUGAUGCCCCCUCUUCCAGACAAGACAUAGGCUAUAACUGUUUCAAAUGACAAGUGCUAAAUGAAGUAUUUAUGUGGUCUUUGGUGAAAGAAAUGAAAUGAAAUGAAAUGGGGUUUAACGUCCUACUGUUCUGCUCCUAACCUGGGCUAAUGAAGACGAGCAUAUGCCAUACAGUGUACUAUGAGGGAAAUUUUGCCUGGGCAGCGGGGCUACGGCCUACUCUUAUAUCGAAUUCCAACUGCCAAGGGAUCUUUUACGUGCAUGCCAAUGUCUACACGGGACCUCGGUUUUUCGUCCCAUAACGACUAGACAGCUGUCCGUCUGUCAGUUCCUCCGUCCUGCAUCACUGAUAAGGGAAACCACGCCGGAAAAUCAGGAUGAACUUUCUCGGCCAAUACAGGGAUCUCCAGGCUAGCGAGCCAGCGUCUUACCCACUUAGCCACUUGAUCCCCCCCUUUGGUGAAAGAGAGAGAGAGAAAUGGGGUUUACCGUCCACUCGACACAAACUAGGUCAUUUCGGGACUAACAUAUGGUUUAAUUUUUUAUUUACAUAAUUCGCUUGCGUGUAGGGGUCUUUAGCAGUGGGAGGAAACCGAAGGACCCGGAGAAAACCCACGAGGUUGGACAGGCGACCCUACUCCUUGCCACGUACAACCGGGGUUUCGAAACCACGCCAUUCGACUCAAUGACAGACUUUAUGAUACAGCGCGCGCACGCUAACCAUUCAGCCAUCCACCACACCCCUCCCUUUGUUGAAAGAAAACAGAGCUGUGGCUAGUGAAAUGAAAGUUUAACGUCCUACUGUUUUGCUCUGAACUGGGCUAAUGAAGAUGGGCAUACGCCAUACAGUGUGCUAUGUGGGAAAUUUUGCCCGGACAGUGGCACUACGGCCUUCUCUUAUAUCGAAUUCUAACUUCAAGGGCUCUUGUACGUGCACGCCAAUGUGUACAUGGGACCUCAUUUUUUUGUCCCAUUUUAAUGACUAGACAGCUGUCUUGUCUAGCCCUCUGUCCUGCAUCACUGACAAGGGAGAACCACGCCCGAAAAUCUGGAGUAACUUUCUCGGCCAAUGCAGGGAUCGAACACCCGACCUCCAGACUAGAUAGCCAGUGUCUUACCGACUUAACCAACGUGAUCCCCGUUGUGGCUACAAUUCCUGGAUUUGAAGGUCAGGUAUGAUAUGAAACGAAUAUUUUGAACCGGUUCACCAAUGCAACCAAUCCGUGACGGGUUAACUGAUAGAGGGUUACAUCCUUGAUAUAAAUAUACUUGUCGCGGGUUUUAAAAAUAGAAAUAUAUAUAUAAAGGUAGCUCAAAAUUCAUCUCUACAUGUACAGAGGCCAAGGGGGGAUCAUGUGGCUAAGUGGGUAAGACGCUGACUCGCUAGCCUUGAGGUCGGGUGUUCGAUCCCUGCAUUGGCCGAGAAAGUUCAUCCUGAUUUUCCGGUGUGGUUUCCCAUUGUCAGUGAUGCAGGACGGAGGGCCUGACGAAGACAGCUGUCUAGUCGUUUGGAUGGGACAAAAAAAAAACAAGGUCCAGUGUACACAUUGGCGUGCACAUAAAAGAUCCCCUGGCAGUUGGAAUUCGAUACAAGAGUAGGCCAUAGCGCUGCUGCCCGGGCAAAAUUUCCCUCAUAGCACACUGUAUGGCGUAACCUUUUGCGUCUCUUCAAAAUAUUUCAAAUCUUUUGUCAUGGAUCAACCAUUGCAAAUAUCCGUGUUACAAUUAUAUUUGAAAUGUGUUAAACCAAUAUUGGUGUAGUAUAUAUCUUUGUUUAUACACCCACAUAUCAAUUUUGGCCCUGUUUGUCCGUACACUGGGUGUGAAAUGUGAAUCAUUCCGAUUGUGAGAGGACCAGCAUUAUCAAUAUACAGCUUUUCAGGACUUUGCUUUCCUUGGUUAAUUCUCCCUAGUCUAGUCGUUUGGAUGGUACGAAUGAUCGAGGUCCUGUGCACACAUUGGUGUGCACGUGAAAGAUCCCUUGGCAGUUUGAAUUCGAUAUAAGAGUAGGCUUUAGCGCCGCUGUCUGGAUAAAAUUCCAUAAUAGCACACUGUAUAGCAUAUUUCCAUGUCAUUAGCCCUGUCGGAAUAGGACAUUAAACCCAUUUCAUUUCACUCAUUCCAAAGUUAACUUCUAUUCCAUCAAUACCUUGAGCAAAUAAGAUAGAGGCUAUAGGUUUUGGCCCAAUUUGGUCAAUAUCCCAGUUUUUUCUUUCUUAUAUGCAUAUCAACACUUUCAUAGCGCUAAUGUAGACCUUUUUCUUGAACAUUUUCCCGUGUCAGUGAUGCCGGACAGAGGACCUGACAUGGAUGGCUGACUAGUCAUACGGAAGGGACAAAAAAACCAAGGUACAGUGUAAACUCAAGUGUGUGUGUGUGUGUGAAAGAUCCCUUGGCAGUUGGAAUUUUAUAUAAGAGUACGCCAUAGCUCUGCACACUGUGUGGCAUAUGCCCGUCUUCAUUUCUCAAACAGCUGUGGAUAAAAACUGUUAAUAUUUAAAUGUGUAUUUUGUAUUUUAUAACAUUAUAUUUUUGUCUUUUAAAUAAAGUAUAUGUAUACAUA